RNAcentral lists this long non-coding RNA (597 nucleotides) under Monodelphis domestica (gray short-tailed opossum). RNAcentral's name for it is "lncRNA (ENSMODG00000035783.2)". Lineage: Eukaryota; Metazoa; Chordata; Mammalia; Didelphimorphia; Didelphidae. The record is from RNAcentral.
CAUUGAUUCUUUGGGUUCUAUGAAUGGAUUUCAGGGAGUCCAUGAGUGGGAAAAAAAUAAAUCUUUAAUUUUCCACUGACCUCUAAUUUAGCAUUUCUUUCCAUUGCUUAAAAUAUUAUUCUGAAAAAGGUUUAAGCAGACUGCCAAAUGAAGUUCAGGACUCAAAAAAAAAAAAGGCUAAGGACCCCUGGAUUUAGGGACAACAUGGAAUGGAAUAGCAGAAAGAACACUGGAUUUGAGCCAGAAGAUUUGAGGAAUGAUGAACAGGAUGAUUUCAGAAAGAACUGGAAAGACCUACAUGAACUGAUGCAGAGUGAAAUAUUCAGAACCAGGAGAACAUUAUACAGAGUAACUGAAAUAUUGUGGAAUGAUCAAAUGUGAUAGACUUUGCUACUAACAACAAUACAAUGACCCAGGACAUUUCUGAGGGACUUAUGAAAAAGAAUGCUAUCUACCUCCAGAGAAAGAACUGUUGGAGUAGAAAUGCAGAUUAAAACAUAUGAUUUAUCACUUGUUUGUUUCAGCAUAUAUUGAGGUGUUUUGAUUUUAUAAGAUUAUUCACUUAUAAAAAUAAAUAUUAUGGAAAUAUGUUUUGCA